This 252-nucleotide ribosomal RNA is filed under the name uncultured prokaryote. Its description in RNAcentral is "partial 16S rRNA". It matches the Rfam family "Archaeal small subunit ribosomal RNA", at positions 475 to 726 of the family's 1478-position model. The record is from RNAcentral.
ACCGGCAGCUCAAGUGGUGGCCAUUAUUAUUGGGCCUAAAGCGUUCGUAGCCGGUUUGAUAAGUCUCUGGUGAAAUCCCGCAGCUUAACUGUGGGACUUGCUGGAGAUACUAUCAGACUUGAGGUCGGGAGGGGUUAGGGGUACUCCCAGGGUAGGGGUGAAAUCCUAUAAGCCUGGGAGGAGCACCUGUGGCGAAGGCGGCUAACGGGAACGAACCUGACGGUGAGUAACGAAAGCCAGGGGCGCGAACUG